CAGAGAAUUUCGCCCUACCGGGUGAAUCUCCAACCCUAUGUUAUAUACCCUUUGUUGCCUUGGCGGGCCGCUUCGGCCACCGGUUUCGAUCGGUGAGCGCCCGUCAGAGGACCCUAACUCUGUUUUUAAUAUUGUCUGAGUACUAUAUAAUAGUUA
RNAcentral lists this unclassified non-coding RNA (156 nucleotides) under uncultured Ascomycota. Its description in RNAcentral is "sequence contains ITS1". Lineage: Eukaryota; Fungi; Ascomycota. The record is from RNAcentral.